ACAUUGCUUAUCGUUUAAGAAUUAAUUUUAAUGAUAGGUAAUUUCUGCCCACUGCAAUCUGGUAAAGGGCUGCAGUAUUUUGACUGUAUAAAGGUAGCAUAAUCAUUAGCUUUUUAAUUGGGGGCUGGUAUGAAGGGGGAGCCGAGGGAGUGGUGUAUUUAUGGAGUAAGUUGAAUUUUAUGGUUUUGUGAAAAAUCAAAAGUGGGUUUAAGGGACAAGAAGACCCUAUUUUAAGUUUGAUGAAUAUUUAUAAAAAGCAUAGAGGAAAGUAAUUUGUUGAUUAGUGUAAUUUAAAAAUAUUUGUUUAGCUGGGGCGGUGAGUCGAGUGAACACGACGAUAAUUUUAAUAUAAAUAUUUUGGGCGUGAAUAAGACCUGACUGGGUCAAUUAAUUGGAUAAUUACUUUAGGGAUAACAGCGUUAUUAUUUUUAAGAGUUCUAAUUGACAGAAUAGUUUGCGACCUCGAUGUUGGAUUAGGGUUAGCGUUGGUGCAGAAGUCGGCGUGUUUGGUCGUCGA
This 517-nucleotide ribosomal RNA is filed under the name Tylopus roseiparaterga. Its description in RNAcentral is "partial large subunit ribosomal RNA". It matches the Rfam family "Archaeal large subunit ribosomal RNA", at positions 1905 to 2652 of the family's 2987-position model. The record is from RNAcentral. Lineage: Eukaryota; Metazoa; Arthropoda; Diplopoda; Polydesmida; Paradoxosomatidae.